GAUGAACGCUGACAGAAUGCUUAACACAUGCGAGUCGAUGGGGAAGUGGUGCUUGCACCCUGGCAACCAUGGCGGACGGGUGAGUAACGCGUAAGGGACUUACCUGCAGGACUGGGAUAACAGGGGGAAACUCCUGACAAGACCGGAUAAUGUCAUGGAGCUGCAUGGCUUUAUGAUGAAAGGAGACGCUUGCGGAGAGCCUUGCGUCCUAUUAGCUAGUUGGUGAGGUAAUGGCUCACCAAGGCGAAGAUAGGUAGCCGGCCGGAGAGGGUGGACGGCCACGAGGGGACUGAGAUACGGCCCUUACUCCUACGGGAGGCAGCAGUGGGGAAUAUUGGACAAUGGGGGCAACCCUGAUCCAGCAAUUCUGUGUGCACGACGAAGGUUUUCGGAUUGUAAAGUGCUUUCAGCAGGGAAGAAGUAAGUGACGGUACCUGCAGAAGAAGCGACGGCUAAAUACGUG
This 463-nucleotide ribosomal RNA is filed under the name uncultured bacterium. RNAcentral describes it as "partial 16S ribosomal RNA". It matches the Rfam family "Bacterial small subunit ribosomal RNA", at positions 28 to 507 of the family's 1533-position model. The record is from RNAcentral.